CUGUUCCAUUCUCCAAUUUUGGACCCAUUGGGACUCCAGAUAACAGGGAUAGGAGGACUGCAGAUCGGUGGAAAACUGAUAAGCCAGCCAUGGGUGGGUUUGGCAUUGAUUAUCUCUCAGCAACGUCAUCCUCUGAGAGCAGUUGGCAUCAGGCCAGCACUCCGAGUGGCACCUGGACAGGCCAUGGCCCCUCCAUGGAGGAUUCCUCUGCUGUCCUCAUGGAAAGCCUAAAGUGACCCUAACGACAGUGUCUGGACAUACAAUAACUAUUUGCUGAAUCACUGAAUGAAUGAACAAGUGAAGAGUGGAUAUCUGUUAGGGAUUUAGGACUGAGAGGUGUAUAAACUUAGGAGCUGUGGUUCUAUCAUGCUGUGCCCCGAGGCCCCGGGAAGCAGAGGAAGCCAGACUACUCAGAGAGAAUGGAACAGAUGCCCAGCGAGGAGCAGAGACAAGAACACAGAAACUUUCCAGUCUCCAGUUCCAGCCUUUCCUGAGCCCCAUCCAAAUUCCUGCCCCAAGCUUAGACCCUUGCAAUAAAUUUCAGUGUUUGCUUAA
This 555-nucleotide small RNA is filed under the name Pongo abelii (Sumatran orangutan). RNAcentral describes it as "processed transcript". The record is from RNAcentral. Lineage: Eukaryota; Metazoa; Chordata; Mammalia; Primates; Hominidae.